GAGAAUGUUCAGGUGACCGUUUAGACGCCGUACUAGCAUGCACACUUAUGGUUGGUCCCAAACGAUCCUUGGCAGAUACUCGCGGUAAUGACUCACUGACAGACAUCGGCUGUCCUUCGGGUGUAGGUGUUCUACUCUUUCCCAUGAAAAAUGAAUAGAAUAAAACACACUCUGUGAUUGAAAAAUACUCAAGACACUAAAACAGCCCUCCUUCUAGCGCCAAUGUUAACGCCAAGAUCUUUCUCCACGUCCCAAUCACGAAAGACGUCCUGAUCCUGCACAGUAAACACGACAAACACCACAAGCUUGACGGCUGGACCGCCGGGGGAUAGCUCAGGCGUAAGAGUAAGUAUGUCUGUUCACAAAGUUAACUCAAGAGGAUAAUAGAAUUUAGUGUAUUGAGAGUCAUUAUUUAUGAGUUGUGUGAAUGUGUAUAUAUGAAUGAAACGUACCUCCUUGUGAAGACUUACUCACUAAGAAAUAAUAUCCUUGCUUGGAUUAUCGUGCCGCCCACUAUCACCUGACAUAUCCCCCUGACCUGAUGGGUUCGACCGACUGCAUGGAGUUCAUCCGCUGCUCUUGGCCACUGUUUGCACCGCCGGCCGACUAUAAUCUCAUCCACAUUAAUGCAUGGCAAAUAUCUUGGUCAACUGUCAUACUAUAUCAUCAUUACAAGUCAAAGUAAUAGAUAUUAAAUGACCCAAUGGGUUAAUCCAACGAACCGACCCGGUCCAAUAGGAUUAAAUAAAGUUGACACAAUAAAUGGGCUCAAAGAGUCCCAUAGCUUAAUUAUAAAAGCCCAACAAAAAUGAACCCAAUAUACCCGACCCAAAAUAGGAGAAAUAUCAUACCCAACAAUAUAUAUAUAAGCAUUCUUCUUAUUCAUAAUCUUUAACAUUUUGCUUCUUCGGUGUAGUAAUACUAUGAAUUCAUACUUGCUCUAAUUUUUUCUGUGAAGGAAUGGAUCAAAGAGUUUACCAUCAGUCGGAGGAGAUUGGUCAAAUGGAAGUUCUCAUUUUCUCUAGUCUUUUUUUUUUCUUCUCUUGAUUACAUCAAUUUUCACCACCAUCUGAUCCAUCAUUCUGUCCUUCUAACUCUUCUGUUAGCUAACCAAUUCACAUGCAUAUACAGCUAACAGCUGCAUCAAUCGGAGAUGAAAUUGAUUCCUCUAUGGUAGAGUAGAGGCAGAACACGUACAAACAAAACAAAACAAAACAAAGGAGAAAGAUGAAAUGUUGUUGUUGAUAGGAAAAUUGAGCAAGCUACAUAAUUGUAGUCUGUAGAAUCAUCCUUCAUUAAACACUAGUAUAAAAUACACUAACAACAAAAUGAAAUGAAAUGUAAUUGUAAUUGUCUACACCCCAAAAUCAAAUCAAAUGUUCUAGAAAGAAAGGAUGAUAGUCUCAUUUUUUU
This 1413-nucleotide long non-coding RNA is filed under the name Panax ginseng (ginseng). Its description in RNAcentral is "long non-coding RNA (PGIN_LNC017043)". The record is from RNAcentral. Lineage: Eukaryota; Viridiplantae; Streptophyta; Magnoliopsida; Apiales; Araliaceae.